Mus pahari (shrew mouse) is the source of this 629-nucleotide long non-coding RNA. RefSeq lists it as uncharacterized. The transcript has 3 exons. The record is from RefSeq and is a predicted model, not a curated record. NCBI's taxonomy places the organism in Eukaryota, Metazoa, Chordata, Mammalia, Rodentia, Muridae.
UUGUAGGAGCUGCGAAAUGGCUCAGGAGUUCUGGGUCGUGGAGUAGUCCCAGGCACUCUGCAACCUGUUCACCAGUACCUGGAGGCCACCGGGAGCGAGUACUCAGCCUCUCCCAAGCUCUAGCUACAGAGGCUUCCCAGUGGCACAGGCUGAUGGCAGCCUCUCCAGGGAGAAAUUCGGACACCAGGGGAGACUGUCUCCAGCCAAGCCCACAGCCUCCCAGUGAAGAACUGCCCCAGAUCACCUCGUCCCCAGCUCCUCACAAGGCUACUUCUGCUACCACAGGGUUCUCAUGCCAAGGCAGCCAGAGAGGCCUGGCCCCAUGGGAGGCCAGGUGGGACCCUGGGAAGGCCCCUCCAGCUCUGGCUCAGGAAGAGGGGGCAUGGCCCCUCAGAGUCACUCUGCUGCAGUCCAGCUUUUGACUCCCAUCUUUACACUGGACCCUGGAAGCACAACUGGAGGUGUGGGACCAUUCAGGACCACAGGUUGAGUCCAGCGUGUGUAUUCUAGGAGGGCUAGGGCCGCUAUGGUCAAAGAUUGAUUGUCCCAACACUGUCCAAACUUGGAUUAAAACUUUGAACUGGGCUGGUGAGAUGGCUCAGCGGGUAAGAGCACCCGACUGCUCUUCC